RNAcentral lists this ribosomal RNA (253 nucleotides) under uncultured bacterium. RNAcentral describes it as "partial 16S ribosomal RNA". It matches the Rfam family "Bacterial small subunit ribosomal RNA", at positions 524 to 776 of the family's 1533-position model. The record is from RNAcentral.
UACGUAGGGGGCGAGCGUUGUCCGGAUUUAUUGGGCGUAAAGAGCGUGUAGGCGGCCAGGUAGGUCUGCUGUGAAAACUCGAGGCUCAACCUCGAGACGUCGGCGGAAACCAUCUGGCUAGAGUCCGGAAGAGGAGAGUGGAAUUCCUGGUGUAGCGGUGAAAUGCGCAGAUAUCGGGAAGAACACCCGUGGCGAAGGCGGCACUCUGGGACGGUACUGACGCUGAGACGCGAAAGCGUGGGGAGCGAACAGG